Molecule: non-coding RNA, 64 nt
Organism: Eremothecium cymbalariae DBVPG#7215
Lineage: Eukaryota; Fungi; Ascomycota; Saccharomycetes; Saccharomycetales; Saccharomycetaceae
Source: the annotation of a RefSeq genome assembly
UUUAAGGCGUCAGAUUUAGGCUCUGAUAUCUACGGAUUCGCGGGUUCGAAUCCCGUAGCUCUCA